CGCGGUAAUUCCAGCUCCAAUAGCGUAUAUUAAAGUUGUUGUGGUUAAAAAGCUCGUAGUUGGAUCUCAACAGCCUUGAAGCGGCUAACUUUGUAGUUUUACUGCUUUAUAGGCUGUGCUUUUGCUGGAGGUUUAGGGGUGCUCUUGAUCGAGUGUCUCUGGAUGCCAGCAGGUUUACUUUGAAAAAAUUAGAGUGCUCAAAGCAGGCUAAAAUGCCUGAAUAUUCGUGCAUGGAAUAAUAGAAUAGGAUGUCGAUCCUAUUUUGUUGGUUUUCGGGACUCGACAUAAUGAUAAAUAGGGACAGUCGGGGGCAUUUGUAUUCAAACGACAGAGGUGAAAUUCUUGGACCGUUUGAAGACAAACUACUGCGAAAGCAUUUGCCAAGAAUGUUUUCAUUAAUCAAGAACGAAAGUUAGAGGUUCGAAGGCGAUUAGAUACCGCCCUAGUUCUAACCAUAAACGAUGCCAGCUAGCGAUCUGCCUGCGUUUUUACUGUAGACUGGGCAGGAAGCUUCCGGGAAACCAAAGCAUUUGGGUUCCAGGGGAAGUAUGGUUGCAAAGCUGAAACUUAAAGGAAUUGACGGAAGGGCACCACCAGGAGUGGAGCCUGUGGCUUAAUUUGACUCAACACGGGAAAUCUCACCAGGCCCGGACACUGGAAGGAUUGACAGAUUGAUAGCUCUUUCUUGAUUCGGUGGGUGGUGGUGCAUGGGCCGUUCUUAGUUGGUGGAGUGAUUUGUCUGGUUAAUUCCGAUAACGAACGGGACUCUGUCCUGCUAAAUAGUUUCUACUUCUCUUUUGAGUAGAAAUUUCUUCUUAGAGGGACUGGUGACUCUUAGUCACACGAGAUUGAGCAAUAACAGGUCUGUGA
RNAcentral lists this ribosomal RNA (870 nucleotides) under uncultured eukaryote. Its description in RNAcentral is "SSU rRNA". It matches the Rfam family "Eukaryotic small subunit ribosomal RNA", at positions 575 to 1467 of the family's 1831-position model. The record is from RNAcentral.